GACGAACGCUGGCGGCGUGCUUAACACAUGCAAGUCGAACGGAAAGGCCCUGCUUUUGUGGGGUGCUCGAGUGGCGAACGGGUGAGUAACACGUGAGUAACCUGCCCUUGACUUUGGGAUAACUUCAGGAAACUGGGGCUAAUAUCGGAUAGGAGCUCCUGCUGCAUGGUGGGGGUUGGAAAGAUUCGGCGGUUGGGGAUGGUAUCGCGGCUUAUCCGCUUGUUGGUGGGGUAGUGGCUUACGAAGGCUUUGACGGGUAGCCGGCCUGAGAGGGUGGCCGGCCACAUGGGGACUGAGAGACGGACCAGACUCCUACGGGAGGCAGCGGGGGGGAAUAUUGCACAAUGGGCGGAAGCCUGAUGCAGCAACGCCGCGUGCGGGAUGACGGCCUUCGGGUUGUAAACCGCUUUCGCCUGUGACGAAGCGUGAGUGACGGUAAUGGGUAAAGAAGCACCGGCUAACUACGUG
RNAcentral lists this ribosomal RNA (468 nucleotides) under uncultured bacterium. RNAcentral describes it as "partial 16S ribosomal RNA". It matches the Rfam family "Bacterial small subunit ribosomal RNA", at positions 28 to 507 of the family's 1533-position model. The record is from RNAcentral.